AGUGAACGCUGGCGGUAGGCCUAACACAUGCAAGUCGAACGGCAGCACAGUAAGAGCUUGCUCUUACGGGUGGCGAGUGGCGGACGGGUGAGGAAUACAUCGGAAUCUACUUUUUCGUGGGGGAUAACGUAGGGAAACUUACGCUAAUACCGCGUACGACCUACGGGUGAAAGCAGGGGAUCUUCGGACCUUGCGCGAUUGAAUGAGCCGAUGUCGGAUUAGCUAGUUGGCGGGGUAAAGGCCCACCAAGGCGACGAUCCGUAGCUGGUCUGAGAGGAUGAUCAGCCACACUGGAACUGAGACACGGUCCAGACUCCUACAGGAGGCAGCAGUGGGGAAUAUUGGACAAUGGGCGCAAGCCUGAUCCAGCCAUACCGCGUGGGUGAAGAAGGCCUUCGGGUUGUAAAGCCCUUUUGUUGGGAAAGAAAAGCAGCAGGUUAAUACCCCGCUGUUCUGACGGUACCCAAAGAAUAAGCACCGGCUAACUUCGUG
Molecule: ribosomal RNA, 492 nt
Filed under: uncultured bacterium
Lineage: Bacteria
Description: partial 16S ribosomal RNA
Rfam family: Bacterial small subunit ribosomal RNA
Source: RNAcentral